GAUGAAGAACGGAGCGAAAUGCGAUAAGUAGUGUGAAUUGCAGAAUUCAGUGAAUCAUCGAAUCUUUGAACGCACAUUGCGCCCCUUGGUAUUCCAUGGGGCAUGCCUGUUCGAGCGUCAUUUGUACCCUCAAGCUAAGCUUGGUGUUGGGUGUUUGUCCACUCCCUCGUGUUUGGACUCGCCUUAAAACAAUUGGCAGCCAGUGUUUUGGUAUUGAAGCGCAGCACAAUUUGCGAUUCUAGCCUAGAAUACUAGCAUCCAUCAAGUCAUUUUUAACGCUUGACCUCGGAUCAGGUAGGGAUACCCGCUGAACUUAAGCAUAUCAAUAAGCGGAGGA
Molecule: unclassified non-coding RNA, 337 nt
Filed under: soil metagenome
Description: partial contains 5.8S ribosomal RNA, internal transcribed spacer 2, and large subunit ribosomal RNA
Rfam family: 5.8S ribosomal RNA (bases 1-120)
Source: RNAcentral